Molecule: long non-coding RNA, 216 nt
Organism: Amblyraja radiata (thorny skate)
Lineage: Eukaryota; Metazoa; Chordata; Chondrichthyes; Rajiformes; Rajidae
Exons: 4
Source: RefSeq, a predicted model, not a curated record
CAUUAGUAUGUCAUGAGGGCAUUUUUUACAAAAUAAAGUACAUUUUGAAGUAUAUCCAAUUGAUGUUUCUUGGAUGCAGCCUUAGUAGAUUACAGCUAACUUAAUGCGGCAUUCCAACAUGAAAAGGUUCCCUACCCCUGGUCUAGCCAAUACAUUUUUGUAGGUAAGGCAAUGGGAACAUUUUGAGUGAUUGCAGGAUCUGGAAGAACGGUGCUU